AUUGAACGCUGGCGGCAUGCUUUACACAUGCAAGUCGAACGGUAACAGGCCGCAAGGUGCUGACGAGUGGCGAACGGGUGAGUAAUGCAUCGGAACGUGCCCAGUCGUGGGGGAUAACUACUCGAAAGAGUAGCUAAUACCGCAUACGAUCUAUGGAUGAAAGCGGGGGACCGUAAGGCCUCGCGCGAUUGGAGCGGCCGAUGUCAGAUUAGGUAGUUGGUGGGGUAAAGGCUCACCAAGCCAACGAUCUGUAGCUGGUCUGAGAGGACGACCAGCCACACUGGGACUGAGACACGGCCCAGACUCCUACGGGAGGCAGCAGUGGGGAAUUUUGGACAAUGGGCGCAAGCCUGAUCCAGCAAUGCCGCGUGCAGGAAGAAGGCCUUCGGGUUGUAAACUGCUUUUGUACGGAACGAAACGGCUCUGGUUAAUACCCGGGGCUAAUGACGGUACCGCAAGAAUAAGCACCGGCUAACUACGUG
This 482-nucleotide ribosomal RNA is filed under the name uncultured bacterium. Its description in RNAcentral is "partial 16S ribosomal RNA". It matches the Rfam family "Bacterial small subunit ribosomal RNA", at positions 30 to 507 of the family's 1533-position model. The record is from RNAcentral.